Molecule: ribosomal RNA, 450 nt
Filed under: uncultured bacterium
Lineage: Bacteria
Description: partial 16S ribosomal RNA
Rfam family: Bacterial small subunit ribosomal RNA
Source: RNAcentral
GUGGGGAAUCUUCCGCAAUGGACGAAAGUCUGGCGGAGCAACGCCGCGUGAGUGAUGAAGGUCUUCGGAUUGUAAAGCUCUGUUAAUCGGGACGAAAGAGCCUAGUGUGAAUAAUGCUAGGAAGUGACGGUACCGGAAUAGAAAGCCACGGCUAACUACGUGCCAGCAGCCGCGGUAAUACGUAGGUGGCAAGCGUUGUCCGGAAUUAUUGGGCGUAAAGCGCGCGCAGGCGGAUCUGCCAGUCUGUCUUAAAAGUUCGGGGCUUAACCCCGUGAUGGGAUGGAAACUACAGAUCUAGAGUAUCGGAGAGGAAAGUGGAAUUCCUAGUGUAGCGGUGAAAUGCGUAGAUAUUAGGAAGAACACCAGUGGCGAAGGCGACUUUCUGGACGAAAACUGACGCUGAGGCGCGAAAGCCAGGGGAGCGAACGGGAUUAGAUACCCGUGUAGUCC